RNAcentral lists this ribosomal RNA (326 nucleotides) under uncultured eukaryote. RNAcentral's name for it is "partial 18S ribosomal RNA". It matches the Rfam family "Eukaryotic small subunit ribosomal RNA", at positions 1470 to 1796 of the family's 1831-position model. The record is from RNAcentral.
CCCUUAGAUGUUCUGGACCGCACGCGCGCUACACUGAAGGGAUCAGCGUGUUUUCCCUUUCCGAGAGGAACGGGUAACCCGCUGAACCCCCUUCGUGGUAGGGAUCGGAGCUUGCAAUUGUUCUCCGUGAACCAGGAAUUCCCAGUAAGCGCAAGUCAUAAGCUUGCGUUGAUUACGUCCCUGCCCUUUGUACACACCGCCCGUCGCUACUACCGAUUGAACGUUUUAGUGAGGUAUUUGGACUGGGCCUUGGGAGGUUUCGGCCUCCCUUGUUGCUCGGAAAGACUCCCAAACUUGAGCGUUUAGAGGAAGUAAAAGUCGUAACA